RNAcentral lists this ribosomal RNA (490 nucleotides) under uncultured bacterium. RNAcentral describes it as "partial 16S ribosomal RNA". It matches the Rfam family "Bacterial small subunit ribosomal RNA", at positions 30 to 507 of the family's 1533-position model. The record is from RNAcentral.
UGAACGCUGGCGGUAGGCCUAACACAUGCAAGUCGACCGGCAGCACAGUAAGAGCUUGCUCUUACGGGUGGCGAGUGGCGGACGGGUGAGGAAUACAUCGGAAUCUACUUUUUCGUGGGGGAUAACGUAGGGAAACUUACGCUAAUACCGCAUACGACCUACGGGUGAAAGCAGGGGAUCUUCGGACCUUGCGCGAUUGAAUGAGCCGAUGUCGGAUUAGCUAGUUGGCGGGGUAAAGGCCCACCAAGGCGACGAUCCGUAGCUGGUCUGAGAGGAUGAUCAGCCACACUGGAACUGAGACACGGUCCAGACUCCUACGGGAGGCAGCAGUGGGGAAUAUUGGACAAUGGGCGCAAGCCUGAUCCAGCCAUACCGCGUGGGUGAAGAAGGCCUUCGGGUUGUAAAGCCCUUUUGUUGGGAAAGAAAAGCAGCAGGUUAAUACCCCGCUGUUCUGACGGUGCCCAAAGAAUAAGCACCGGCUAACUUCGUG